CGGACGGGUGAGUAACGCCUAGGAAUCUGCCUGGUAGUGGGGGACAACGUUUCGAAAGGAACGCUAAUACCGCAUACGUCCUACGGGAGAAAGCAGGGGACCUUCGGGCCUUGCGCUAUCAGAUGAGCCUAGGUCGGAUUAGCUAGUUGGUGAGGUAAUGGCUCACCAAGGCGACGAUCCGUAACUGGUCUGAGAGGAUGAUCAGUCACACUGGAACUGAGACACGGUCCAG
RNAcentral lists this ribosomal RNA (232 nucleotides) under uncultured Pseudomonadales bacterium. RNAcentral's name for it is "partial 16S ribosomal RNA". It matches the Rfam family "Bacterial small subunit ribosomal RNA", at positions 99 to 334 of the family's 1533-position model. Lineage: Bacteria; Pseudomonadati; Pseudomonadota; Gammaproteobacteria; Pseudomonadales. The record is from RNAcentral.